GACAGCAGGGGUUGCUGGGAGAAAGUCCAGGACACCAGCAGGCCCUCUUCCUCCACCUCCUCCAGGCAGAUGACCAACUGAAAUAGGUCACAUGACUGAUGGAGGCCGAGGAAGGGAGCUGGAGGCUGUCCUCAAAGGUGAUCUGGAUGGAGCUCUGAGGAGAGGAGAGGGAGGGCCCGUAUCAUUAUGAGCACAUAAAAAGGAUUCAGAAUAAAAUAGGACGGUGGACUUCAGAAGUGAGGUUAGCUGACGUGGCUGUACAACCCAGUGGGGCCAUCAGGACUGUGGGGUGGGACAGGACACCAGGAGCAGGAUGUCCUGCCGUUCACAAGAGUGUCUCUCCUGCCUUCUCAGUGUCCCUCAACCACCAGAUUAGCCGCACCGUUCAAAGAGCUCAUUCGGCAGCUU
Long non-coding RNA from Lepisosteus oculatus (spotted gar), 408 nucleotides. RefSeq lists it as uncharacterized. Lineage: Eukaryota; Metazoa; Chordata; Actinopteri; Semionotiformes; Lepisosteidae. The record is from RefSeq and is a predicted model, not a curated record.